RNAcentral lists this small RNA (105 nucleotides) under Arabidopsis thaliana (thale cress). RNAcentral describes it as "ATSL068020". Lineage: Eukaryota; Viridiplantae; Streptophyta; Magnoliopsida; Brassicales; Brassicaceae. The record is from RNAcentral.
AAAAUAAAAACGCAGAAGCGAGAUGGAGGUUCCGGUUGAUGAGGGUCAUUUCCUAUCGAUGCUUGUAAAGAUCAUGAAUGCGAAAAACACUAUCGAGAUCGGUGU